This 758-nucleotide long non-coding RNA is filed under the name Homo sapiens (human). Its description in RNAcentral is "HSALNT0264386". Lineage: Eukaryota; Metazoa; Chordata; Mammalia; Primates; Hominidae. The record is from RNAcentral.
CGCUUCUAUGUUUCUGCUUUCAACUAUGUGCUUCUGCCUUUGCUAGGAGAACAUGCCAGGGCUGGCCUGUUGGAGGGCUGGGAGAGUGAGGUGGGGAGCAGCAUUUAGGUUGUCUCUCACCCAAGACAGAAAAUAAUCAGAUUGACAGAUUUCACUUUUCUCCAAGACUCAUUACUCAUCUGUUGUGUGUAGAUUUCGGCAGGGGUUCAAGAAAGCAUAUUGAUGCAUGUAUGUUGCGGUCUUAAUGCAAAUCUGAUCUAGCCUUAGAACUCUGAGCAUACCAAGAACCUAAGGGUAAAUUUAUUUUUCAUACGCAUUACCCCUUUGAAACUUGAAGAAAGACAAGGAGGAACAUAGAAUGAAAAGCAGAUUAAAAUGAAGGGUACGUGCUGAAGGCUGGUUGGUCCACACGAUCAGACCCAGCUGGAUGUCUUAUACCUCCUCUUCUUUGUCAGUAGACUCCUGAAUUAUUAAGUUCAAUAAGAAAGGAAAGGGAUGGAAAGGAUUCGGAGUGUCUUAUUUCAGGUGUAAACCUUUAUGAUGUCUUCGUAUAUUCCUGUACCGCGUGCAAGCAUUGGAGGUUUGUGGCUGGAAAUCCUUCAAAGGUGACAAUGUACAGAAGAGUUGAUAUGAAUCAAGACUGGAUGAAUGAAGCCAUUGGUCCUUAUAAAUAUUUCCAAGUCUUAAAAUACCCCACUGAGAAGUUACUUUGGAGCUCUAUUUUACAGAGAAGGAAGUUGUGACUCGGAGGUGACAUU